GAUGAAGAACGUAGCAAAAUGCGAUAAGUAAUGUGAAUUGCAGAAUUCAGUGAAUCAUCGAAUCUUUGAACGCACAUUGCGCCCGCCAGUAUUCUGGCGGGCAUGCCUGUUCGAGCGUCAUUUCAACCCUCAAGCACAGCUUGGUGUUGGGACUCGCGUUAAUUCGCGUUCCCCAAAUUGAUUGGCGGUCACGUCGAGCUUCCAUAGCGUAGUAGUAAAACCCUCGUUACUGGUAAUCGUCGCGGCCACGCCGUUAACCCCCAACUUCUGAAUGUUGACCUCGGAUCAGGUAGGAAUACCCGCUGAACUUAAGCAUAUCAAUAAGCGGAGGA
This 332-nucleotide unclassified non-coding RNA is filed under the name soil metagenome. RNAcentral's name for it is "partial contains 5.8S ribosomal RNA, internal transcribed spacer 2, and large subunit ribosomal RNA". The stretch from base 1 to 120 matches the Rfam family "5.8S ribosomal RNA", at positions 35 to 154 of the family's 154-position model. The record is from RNAcentral.